UCCAGAUUCAAUGCAGUGACGGCAGAAAGUGUAUGGGCAUGAAGAUUCAAAGAAAAAGAUGCGGCCGUUGAAAGAUUUAUAUGCUCCUUUGCUCCAGGUACCUGAACCACUAAGGCCAGUUUCACCAAAUUCAUUUAGUCCAGAAGCACCAACACCAAGUUCAUCUGCACUCUUACCUCCUCCACCACUUCCAGAAUCAGAAGACCAAGUGUUUCCUCCUAAUGGAAAUCAAA
Molecule: long non-coding RNA, 233 nt
Filed under: Homo sapiens (human)
Lineage: Eukaryota; Metazoa; Chordata; Mammalia; Primates; Hominidae
Description: non-protein coding lnc-SLC2A13-3:4
Source: RNAcentral